CUUCUAUGCCUGCUUGGAAGAUCUGAGGGGCUCUUUGGAUGCAGGUUACUUCUUUUCUUGCAUGCUGUUAUUGGAGUUGUUCCUUGCUUUGUUAUGCUUUUAAAAUUUGAAACUACCAUUUUGAUGAAGGCAUGUGCAGUAAACAUAAUUCAAAAAUAACAGGAAAACUUUACAACAAUAUAAAGGAGAAUGAAAUGGCAUUUGGAAUCUAAAUGGUCCUUGUUUAUAUUCUGUUAUCAAUCAAUCAACAAGAAUAUCUGCUAAGAAAAUGUUGGUGUAAGAAUUUAGAAUAAAAAAUUAAUGCGGAAGAAUAAAGAAUAUUUUUAUUG
This 329-nucleotide unclassified non-coding RNA is filed under the name Hevea brasiliensis (rubber tree). Lineage: Eukaryota; Viridiplantae; Streptophyta; Magnoliopsida; Malpighiales; Euphorbiaceae. The record is from RNAcentral.